RNAcentral lists this ribosomal RNA (250 nucleotides) under uncultured bacterium. Its description in RNAcentral is "partial 16S ribosomal RNA". It matches the Rfam family "Bacterial small subunit ribosomal RNA", at positions 524 to 776 of the family's 1533-position model. The record is from RNAcentral.
UACGUAGGGGGCAAGCGUUGUCCGGAAUCAUUGGGCGUAAAGCGCGUGUAGGCGGCUUUGCAAGUCGGAUGUGAAGCCCGGGCUCAACCCGGGAAGUGCACUCGAUACUGCAGAGCUUGAGUGUCGGAGAGGUUGGUGGAAUUCUCGGUGUAGAGGUGAAAUUCGUAGAUAUCGAGAGGAACACCGGCGGCGAAGGCGGCCAACUGGACGAACACUGACGCUGAGACACGAAAGCGUGGGAGCAAACAGG